RNAcentral lists this ribosomal RNA (682 nucleotides) under Planococcus sp. B-RO9-5. RNAcentral's name for it is "bacterial SSU rRNA". It matches the Rfam family "Bacterial small subunit ribosomal RNA", at positions 94 to 764 of the family's 1533-position model. Lineage: Bacteria; Bacillati; Bacillota; Bacilli; Caryophanales; Caryophanaceae. The record is from RNAcentral.
AGCGGCGGACGGGUGAGUAACACGUGGGCAACCUGCCCUGCAGAUCGGGAUAACUCCGGGAAACCGGUGCUAAUACCGAAUAGUUUGCGGCCUCUCCUGAGGCUGCACGGAAAGACGGUUUCGGCUGUCACUGCAGGAUGGGCCCGCGGCGCAUUAGCUAGUUGGUGGGGUAAUGGCCUACCAAGGCGACGAUGCGUAGCCGACCUGAGAGGGUGAUCGGCCACACUGGGACUGAGACACGGCCCAGACUCCUACGGGAGGCAGCAGUAGGGAAUCUUCCGCAAUGGACGAAAGUCUGACGGAGCAACGCCGCGUGAGUGACGAAGGUUUUCGGAUCGUAAAACUCUGUUGUGAGGGAAGAACAAGUGCCAACUAACUACUGGCACCUUGACGGUACCUCACCAGAAAGCCACGGCUAACUACGUGCCAGCAGCCGCGGUAAUACGUAGGUGGCAAGCGUUGUCCGGAAUUAUUGGGCGUAAAGCGCGCGCAGGCGGUCCUUUAAGUCUGAUGUGAAAGCCCACGGCUCAACCGUGGAGGGUCAUUGGAAACUGGAGGACUUGAGUGCAGAAGAGGAAAGUGGAAUUCCAUGUGUAGCGGUGAAAUGCGUAGAGAUGUGGAGGAACACCAGUGGCGAAAGCGACUUUCUGGUCUGUAACUGACGCUGAGCGCGAAAGCGUGG